This 2664-nucleotide long non-coding RNA is filed under the name Callithrix jacchus (white-tufted-ear marmoset). RNAcentral describes it as "lncRNA (ENSCJAG00000078913.1)". Lineage: Eukaryota; Metazoa; Chordata; Mammalia; Primates; Cebidae. The record is from RNAcentral.
GUGCCUGUGCUGCCCCGGAUCCUCGCUCUCUGGCCCCCUUCCUGGCACACAGCUCUCUCUGCGAGGGACGCGGCCACCCUCUGUCCCUGUCCCCUCCGCAGAAGGAGGGAGGCGCCGCUGCCUGCGGGGCCAGAGAGGGUGAAGCCAGUGCCAAGCGCCCCCGCAAGCCGCGCUCCAGAUCCCCCGUCACCAUCCCUCAGUGCGCGCAGUCCCCGCUCCCAGCGCGCCACGUUCUCCACCUGCCCGGAGCGCCCCAACGUCCCUGCUUCCAGAGAGCAGUUCCCUGAGUCCCGGCAGCCCCCCUCCGUCCUCUUCUCCCCCAAAGUCCGAGGAAGUCGAACUCAGAGCGGCCGGUCGGCUCGCCGAGGCGGCGGACAGUUGCUGCGAGAGCGCGGCGCGGAGCGAGACUGCGCGCAGCGCCCGGGGUCUCGCCCCAGAGGGCUGGCUCUGCACGCCCGGAGGCCGAAGUCCCGAACCCCACAAGCCGGGCCCGACCUGAGCCCUCUGCGUUACCUGGCACGGCCGGCGACUCUCCGGAGACCUUCGGUCCUGCCUGCUUCUGGGCGGGCGUCCAGCUCACAUCGCUGCUUUCCCCGCCGGGCGGCUGGUGUCCCUCUGGGUUCGUUCGGCCCCUGCUCGCGGCGCUGUCCCCGCCCCCCACCCCCCUGCCCCUCUGUCAGAAAUGUCACAGCUUUUCUGCCUUCGGAUGUUUCGCAAAGUCUCUGUGCGGUCACCAGGAGUUGGGGGGCACUGGCAGGUGCCCCAACCCCGCCGCCGCCCUGCCCUGCCCUUUCGCGGCGCCCUGCGUUCAGCCUGUCCGAUGAUGCAGCUGAGGCUCAAAAAGGUGAGUGAAGCUGACCCUUGAGCAACAUGGGGGUCAGGAGCACUACCCUCAUGUAGUCAAAAAUUCACAUGUAAUUUUUGACUCCCCACAACUUUACUAAUAGCCUACUGUUGUCUGGAAACUUUAUGGAUAACAUAAGCAACUGACUAACACAUAUUUUAUAUGCUAUACAUUUCAUAUGCUGUAUUCUUAUAAUAAUCUGGAGAAAAUAAAAUAUUAAAGAAAUCAUAAGGAAAAGGAAAUAUAUUUACUAUUCAUUAAGUGGAAGUGGAGCAUCAUAAAGGUCUUCAUCAUCCUUCUUCAUCAUCCUACUCACCUUCAUGCUGAGUAGGUGGAGGAGAAGGAGAAAGAGGAAGGAUUGGUCUCAUCCUGUCAGAGAUGACAGAUGGGAGAAAAUCCAUGUGUAAGUGGCCUCAUACAGUUCACACUUUUGUUGUUCAAGGAUCAGCUGUAGUGUGUCCAGGUCAUAUAGCUCAUAAGUGGAGAGAUCAACCUUGACCCAAAGGAGCUUGAUUAGCAGGCCAGGGCCUUCAGGUAUCCAGCAGCUUCCACUGCCUUUUUUAUUUAAAGAGAAGAUCAGUUUCUUGGUGUUUUGUUGAAGUUACUUGUUUCUGGUGAUCAAUUCCUUACCCUAAAUUUAGAGAAAAGCAUGAGCCUUUUUGUGUUGGUGAAUUUUAUGGGUCAACUUGACUGAGCCAUAAGGUAUUCAGAUAUUCGGUAGAACAUCAUCCUGGAAGUUUUUCUGAGAAUGUUUUUUUGGAUAAGACUAGCAUUUAUUCUGUUCUGUUGGUUGCUGGUCCAUGCUAAUGAUUGUUUCUUUUGCUCUGCAGAAGCUCUUAAGUUUAAUUAGAUCCUAUUUGUUAUUUUGGCUUUUGUUGCCAUUGCUUUUGGUGUUUUAGUCGUGAAGUCCUUGCCUAUGUCUGUGUCCUGAAUGGUUUUGCCUAGAUUUUCUUCUAGGGUUUUUAUGGUGUUAGGUUUUAUGUUUAAAUCCUUAAUCCAUCUGGAGUUAAUUUUUGUAUAAGGUGUAAAGAAGGGGUCCAGUUUUAGCUUUCUGCAUAUGGCUAGCUAGUUUUCUCAACACAUCUGACAAAGGGUUAAUAUCCAGAAUCUACAAAGAACUAAAACAAAUUUACAAGAAAAAAACAAACAACCCAUCAAAAAGUGGGUGAAGAAUACGAACAGACACUUUUCAAAAGAAGACAUUUAUGUGGCCAACAAACAUGAAAAAAUGCUCAUUAUCACUGGUCAUUAGAGAAAUGCAAAUCAAAACCACAUUGAGAUACCAUCUCACGCCAGUUAGAAUGGCGAUCAUUAAAAAAUCUGGAGACAACAGAUGCUAGAGAGGAUGUGAAGAAAUAGGAACACUUUUACACUGUUGGUGGGAAUAUAAAUUAGUUCAACCAUUGUGGUAGACAGUGUGGCGAUUUCUCAAGGAUCUAGAAAUAGAAAUACCAUUUGACCCAGCAAUUGCAUUACUGGGUAUGUACCCAAGGAAUUAUAAAUUGUGCUAUUAUAAAGACACAUGCAUAUGUAUGUUCAUUGUGGCACUGUUUACAAUAGCAAAUACCUGGAACCAACCCAAAUGCCCAUCAAUGAUAGACUGGAUAAAGAAAAUGUUACAUGUAUAUACUAUGGAAUACUAUGCAGCCAUAAAAAGUGAUGAGUUAAUAUCCUUUGUAGGGACAUGGAUGAAUCUGGAAACCAUCAUUCUCAGAAAACUGAUGCAAGAACAGAAAAACAAACGUUGCAUGUUCUCACUCAUAGGCAGGUGUUGAACAAAGGAGAACAUCACAGAUUAGGGUCUGUUGGUGGUUGGGGGA